Molecule: transfer RNA, 65 nt
Filed under: Phauda flammans
Lineage: Eukaryota; Metazoa; Arthropoda; Insecta; Lepidoptera; Zygaenidae
Description: tRNA-Ile
Source: RNAcentral
AUAAAGUGCCUGAUUAAAGGAUUAUUCUGAUAGGAUAAUUUAAGUAGAUAUAUUCUACCUUUAUU